This 22-nucleotide ribosomal RNA is filed under the name Mycobacterium shimoidei. RNAcentral describes it as "partial 23S ribosomal RNA". The record is from RNAcentral. Lineage: Bacteria; Bacillati; Actinomycetota; Actinomycetes; Mycobacteriales; Mycobacteriaceae.
GUGUAAGUGUGUGAGAGCACAU